UACGGAGGGGGCUAGCGUUGUUCGGAAUUACUGGGCGUAAAGCGCGCGUAGGCGGACCUGCAAGUCGGGGGUGAAAGCCCGAGGCUCAACCUCGGAACUGCCUUCGAUACUGCGGGUCUCGAGUCCGGGAGAGGUGAGUGGAAUUCCUAGUGUAGAGGUGAAAUUUGUAGAUAUUAGGAAGAACACCAGUGGCGAAGGCGGCUCACUGGCCCGGUACUGACGCUGAGGCGCGAAAGCGUGGGGAGCAAACAGG
This 253-nucleotide ribosomal RNA is filed under the name uncultured bacterium. Its description in RNAcentral is "partial 16S ribosomal RNA". It matches the Rfam family "Bacterial small subunit ribosomal RNA", at positions 524 to 776 of the family's 1533-position model. The record is from RNAcentral.